RNAcentral lists this ribosomal RNA (497 nucleotides) under uncultured bacterium. Its description in RNAcentral is "partial 16S ribosomal RNA". It matches the Rfam family "Bacterial small subunit ribosomal RNA", at positions 28 to 507 of the family's 1533-position model. The record is from RNAcentral.
GAUGAACGCUGGCGGCGUGCCUAAUACAUGCAAGUCGAACGGACAGACGGUGAGCUUUCUCCUCUACCGUUGGCGGCUGGCGGAUGAGUGACGCGUGGAUCACCUUCUUCUUUUUCUUGGAUAACUUCGGGAAGCCGCUGCUGCUACCGCCUCAUAUAUUGUACCGCUUGGAUCAAUAGUGAUACACGGCUUUGCUGUCACUUUUAGCUGAUGUCGCGCCGCAUUAGCUAGUUGGUAAGGUAACGGCUUACCAAGGCAACGAUGCGUAGCCGACCUGAGAGGGUGAUCGGCCACACUGGAACUGAGACACGGUCCAGACUCCUACGGGAGGCAGCAGUAGGGAAUCUUCCGCAAUGGGCGAAAGCCUGACGGAGCAACGCCGCGUGAGUGAUGAAGGUCUUCGGAUCGUAAAACUCUGUUAUUAGGGAAGAACAAAUGUGUAAGUAACUAUGCACGUCUUGACGGUACCUAAUCAGAAAGCCACGGCUAACUACGUG